This 377-nucleotide unclassified non-coding RNA is filed under the name uncultured Actinomycetes bacterium. RNAcentral describes it as "uncultured actinobacterium contains 16S-23S intergenic spacer region". The record is from RNAcentral. Lineage: Bacteria; Bacillati; Actinomycetota; Actinomycetes.
UCCGAGUUGACCCCGGCAGUCUCCUAUGAGUCCCCGGCAUUAUCCGCUGGCAACAUAGGACGAGGGUUGCGCUCGUUGAGGGACUUAACCCGACAUGCCACCACACGAGCUGACGACAGCCAUGCAGCAUCUGUGUGGCACCCUCGAAGGUCACACGUUUCCGUGCGCUUGCAGCCACAUGUCAAGCCCAGGUAAGGUUCUUCGCGUUGCAUCGAAUUAAAGAACAUGCUCCGCUGCUUGUGCGGGCCCCCGUCAAUUCCUUUGAGUUUUAGCCUUGCGGCCGUACUCCCCAGGCGGGGUGCUUAAUGCGUUAGCUUCGGCACGGAGGGAGUCGACACCCCCCACACCUAGCACCCAUCGUUUACGGCGUGGACUAC